AGCGAACGCUGGCGGCAGGCUUAACACAUGCAAGUCGAGCGGGCAUCCUUGUGGUGUCAGCGGCAGACGGGUGAGUAACGCGUGUGAACGUGCCCUUCGGUUCGGAAUAACUCAGGGAAACUUGAGCUAAUACCGGAUACGUGCGAGAGCAGAAAGGUUUAUCUGCCGAAGGAUCGGCCCGCGUCUGAUUAGCUAGUUGGUGAGGUUACGGCUCACCAAGGCGACGAUCAGUAGCUGGUCUGAGAGGAUGAUCAGCCACACUGGGACUGAGACACGGCCCAGACUCCUACGGGAGGCAGCAGUGGGGAAUAUUGGACAAUGGGGGCAACCCUGAUCCAGCCAUGCCGCGUGAGUGAUGACGGCCUUAGGGUUGUAAAGCUCUUUUCUCCGGGACGAUAAUGACGGUACCGGAGGAAUAAGCCCCGGCUAACUUCGUG
This 437-nucleotide ribosomal RNA is filed under the name uncultured bacterium. RNAcentral's name for it is "partial 16S ribosomal RNA". It matches the Rfam family "Bacterial small subunit ribosomal RNA", at positions 29 to 507 of the family's 1533-position model. The record is from RNAcentral.